Molecule: non-coding RNA, 1979 nt
Organism: Phascolarctos cinereus (koala)
Lineage: Eukaryota; Metazoa; Chordata; Mammalia; Diprotodontia; Phascolarctidae
Source: RefSeq, a predicted model, not a curated record
AGUUACCUUCCAGCUUUAGAUCUUGGAUAGGUUAGUUUUCACAGGCAAGAGAAAACAGAGAGGACUGGGGGUGGGGGGGGAGUGUCACAUGGGAAGGUCAUGGGAAGGUACUUAGGUAAGCUGAAGAAGAGCAACAGAUUUCAGAGAAAAAAAAAGUAGUUAUAUGAUUUUUUUUUUAAAGAAGAAAUUUUCUGCCUAGAAUCCAUCAUGGUCCUUAUCUACUUUAAGUGUUGUCACCACUCUACUAAGUCACCCAAGCUCAAAACUUUAAUGUUGUAAUCUCCUUUAACCACAACAUGCGGUUGAUUAACAUGCCAAGUUAUCUGUUGGCCUCCACCUCCCAGACAGCAAGGGUUCUUGCCCCCUCUGAGACAGUCUGUCUCUUCAUGACUUCAGUCUAUUGCUGGGCACACUGUAUGAAUGAAUAAAAUUACAACGCAAAGAGAGGACCAAUGGCAUUUAUGAAUGUCUUUGUGAGGAAGUGUUGCAGUCAUCAGCCUCACUCUUCCAGAGUCAUCAAAGCCCAGGGGCAAGACAAAAGCCAAGAUGAUUGGUGAUGGUGGCUUGUGAUGCAGUGAAUAAUCUUGGUAUUUCUGAUGUCUGACCAACCUUGGUCAGGAGCUCAAUUGUGACUGCUUCAGCCACCUUCAUGGAAGUUGGAACAAACUGUUCUCAUCUACUUAUUCCACAGGAAGGGUGUGGGGGGAGGAAGUCUUCGAAUCCUUGGGGUAAACAUCCCCCUAACUCACGAAAGGAUUUAAGGCCUGUCAGCUACCCUCAACCUGGUUUAGCCAGUCCGCCAAGAUGGUUCUACCAAGAUGUGGCGGCUGGGCAUGCCGUAGUACAGCUUCUUGGAGUCAGAGGUGACAGAUGAACAACCCUAAAAAGAGCUUGGCAAGUCCUCAUACCAGAAGUGUUAGUCCUCCCUGAACAUUCCCAAACCCUGCCUAAUAAAUACCAGGCGAACAAAGAUAAUUUACAAAAGGAAGAGGAGUUCAAUUUUCAACAUGAUGAAAUUUUAGAUGCCUAAGAGACAUCCUCUUGGAGAUGCCUUGUAGGUAAUGCAGGACUAGAGUAAAGGAGAAGGAUUUGGGCCAUAUAUGAGAGAUCUGGGAGUCACAUAAAGAGAUUAUUUAACCUAUGAGACUUUAUGAGAUCACCAAAAGAAAAAUAGUAGAGAGGCUCUCUACAGGACCUUACUGGACACUCAAAAUUAGGGGUGGGGACAUGGCUACAUAAUGAUUUAGCAAGGGAGACUGAGAAGUGGAAUAUAUGUAGGGAAGAAAACUAAGAGACAACAGUGUCAUGAGAGCUGAGAAUAACAAUGUUAAAAGGUGCAGAGGUCAAGAAGAAAGAGGACUGAGAAAAAUCCAUGUAUUUAUCAAUUAAUACUUGCUGUUCAGUUUCCAUCAGGAACAGGAACCAGCCAACAAGAAGCCUAUCCUCUACCUCCACCAGAAUGGGAGUACCACAGAGCAGAGAAGGUAGAGCAAGUGCCUUGUAUGGUUCUCCCCCAUCCUUUCUUCAGACACCAGCUUCCUCUUCCCUGCUCCUGGCUGGACAUCAAUGCCCCAUCCCAUUCCACCACCUGGCCCCUCUUUUUAAGGAGAUAGUCUGUCUGUGCUCUGCCUUGGUCAGACCACUUCUGGAGCACUGCUCAGUUCUGAGAGUUACUGUUUGAUAAGGGAAGAGAUCCCAGAGGAUAACUAUGAUGGUAAAGACUUCCUUGAUUGCUUUAGAGCCUUGUCAUAUCAGAUCAAUUUAAACAGACAAAAACAAUUUGAGGUUUAUCCUGGAGAAAAGACAAAGGGGAAAUUUUAUUGCUGUCUUUUAAAUAUUUAAAGGCCUGUCAGAUGGAAAAGGAAUUAGAUUUGUUUUGUUUGUCCAGAAAAAUAGGAUCCACAGGUAGAAGUUGUGGGGGUCAGUUUAGGCUUGAUGUCAGACAACUUCCUAAUAAAGCUAUUCAGCAGUAGAAUGGG